RNAcentral lists this ribosomal RNA (253 nucleotides) under uncultured bacterium. Its description in RNAcentral is "partial 16S ribosomal RNA". It matches the Rfam family "Bacterial small subunit ribosomal RNA", at positions 524 to 776 of the family's 1533-position model. The record is from RNAcentral.
UACAGGGGGUGCAAACGUUGCUCGGAAUCAUUGGGCGUAAAGCGCGUGUAGGCGGCCCGGUAAGUCCGCUGUGAAAGUCGGGGGCUCAACCCUCGAAUGCCGGUGGAUACUGUCGGGCUAGAGUGCGGAAGAGGCGAGUGGAAUUCCUGGUGUAGCGGUGAAAUGCGCAGAUAUCAGGAGGAACGCCAAUUGCGAAGGCAGCUCGCUGGGACGUGACUGACGCUGAGACGCGAAAGCGUGGGGAGCAAACAGG